This 434-nucleotide ribosomal RNA is filed under the name uncultured bacterium. RNAcentral's name for it is "partial 16S ribosomal RNA". It matches the Rfam family "Bacterial small subunit ribosomal RNA", at positions 29 to 507 of the family's 1533-position model. The record is from RNAcentral.
AGCGAACGCUGGCGGCAGGCCUAACACAUGCAAGUCGAACGAACCUUUCGGGGUUAGUGGCGGACGGGUGAGUAACACGUGGGAACGUGCCUUUAGGUUCGGAAUAACUCAGGGAAACUUGUGCUAAUACCGAAUGUGCCCUUCGGGGGAAAGAUUUAUCGCCUUUAGAGCGGCCCGCGUCUGAUUAGCUAGUUGGUUGAGGUAAUGGCUCACCAAGGCGACGAUCAGUAGCUGGUCUGAGAGGAUGAUCAGCCACAUUGGGACUGAGACACGGCCCAAACUCCUACGGGAGGCAGCAGUGGGGUAUCUUGCGCAAUGGGCGAAAGCCUGACGCAGCCAUGCCGCGUGAAUGAUGAAGGUCUUAGGAUUGUAAAAUUCUUUCACCGGGGACGAUAAUGACGGUACCCGGAGAAGAAGCCCCGGCUAACUUCGUG